UCGGAUGUCGUUCAAAGGUAGGAUUCUAGGUUGUUACCCUAGCGAUGCAGGUUCGAGUCCUGCCAUCCGAGCCA
This 74-nucleotide transfer RNA is filed under the name bacterium. RNAcentral's name for it is "tRNA-Asn". It matches the Rfam family "tRNA". From Rfam's summary of the family: Transfer RNA (tRNA) molecules are approximately 80 nucleotides in length. Their secondary structure includes four short double-helical elements and three loops (D, anti-codon, and T loops). The record is from RNAcentral.